UUUUCGGCUGGAAUGGGGAAUUUGUGAGGUAGGCCGGAAGUGGUGUUGCGGAGGGAAGUGUGGGGAGAGCAGAGGCGCAGCUCUGCUGGAGAGACCUGAGGCUUGCAGCGCUGGGCCCGGCCGGGUCGCUGCGGCUGGGCUGGAGCCAAGGUUAACUAUUUGUAACAUGUCAUCUUUCAAGGAAGCAUCUAACCAAGAUUAAGUCAAAGGCAUCUACCAGGUCCUGAAUUCUCUCCCAGAUGCACACCUUUUAAGGUCAAGGAUGCAUUCCAGGAAAGUUCUAUAAAAAUAUACCAUCAACUCCAACCUGAUAUUUGACCUAGCCAUGGAAAACCUCAUUGGCUCCUCACUGGAUCAGACCAUAAAAAUGAUCCAGGAAUGAAAAUCUAAGAUAAAUUCCCACCACUUCAAGAUGUUCUUAUACAAGUCAACAGUCUAGCAGAUCAGCCAGUCUCUUUCAUCAUCAAGCAGACAUACUCAAGAAAGAGGAAUAGUGAAGUGAAAUAUACAGAAGCAUGUUCAAGUUCAUCUGUUGAAUCUGGAAUUGUGAAUAGUGACAAUAUUGAGAAAAAUACUGACUCCAAUCUGCAAACUUCAACUUCAUUUGAGCCACAUUUCAAAAAGAAAAAAAAGAAAAAUUUGAAACAUUAAGGGAAAACAGUUGGGUAAAAGAUCCAUUUGCUUUUCGACACCCUGAAUCAAUAAUUGAGCUAAACUUGGUGCCUGAAGAAGAGAAUGAAUUAUUGCAGCUUAGUUCUUCAUAUACAUUGAAGAAUGAUUAUGAAACCUUAAGUUUAUCAGCAUUUUGGAUGAAGGUAAAGGAAGACUUUCCAUUGUUAAGUAGAAAGAGUGUCCUGCUAUUGCUACCAUUCACAACAACUAGUUUGUGUGAACUAGGGUUUUCCAUCUUAACGCAGUUAAAAACAAAGGAAAGAAAUGGGCUGAAUUGUGCAGCAGUUAUGCGGGUAGCAUUAUCUUCCUGUGUUCCAGACUGGAAUGAACUUAUGAACAGGCAAGCACACCCAUCAUAGUAAAUAAAAAUCUUACCUAGC
Molecule: long non-coding RNA, 1052 nt
Filed under: Homo sapiens (human)
Lineage: Eukaryota; Metazoa; Chordata; Mammalia; Primates; Hominidae
Description: HSALNT0069535
Source: RNAcentral